UAAUUCUUUUUGAGUGAAGAAAAACGAAUACGGGGAGCUCUAAUCCCCCGCUCUCUCGUACGUCUCCUAGCCGAUUACGAGAGAGUAUCCGAAUGUAGUGGAGAUCUGAGUACCGUUUAACAAACGUAUCUUGAAGGAUAAAAUGCUUCCUCGUAAGAAAAGUUUUUAAUGAACAUUUUAUUCGUUAAAAUGAUUUGGAAAAGAGAGAAAAUCGUUCGAUCGUGAUGCGCGUUGUCGCGGUCUCGCCGAAUCUUCGGAAAAAAUUGUCUCGUAUCGAGAGCUUUUCCAAGGAGAUAUUACUUUGAUCUAAAGUUUCAAUAUUUCAAUCUGUUAAUCUUAUUCUUUUAUUUCUCGAAUGAAUUUAUUUUUCUCGAUAAAUAGACAAAUUUUUUUGAAAAUAUUCUUCACCGAUAAUGGCCAUCGUCGAAGAAUUCGAUUAUCUUUGUCGUUUGUGCGCGACCAAGACUGGAAUUCUCAUGGGAUUACCAAUCUUCGAGGCUGGCGAUCAGAUGCGUAACAUCCAUAAGAAAAUCGCAGCGUGCCUUCCCGUCCAAGUUUCAAUGACCGAUCAGCUUCCUAAAGUAGUAUGCGAAGAAUGCGCAUAUAAAUUAGAUCAAUUGUUUGAUUUUCGUGAAAAAUGUUUACAUACUGAAGGUAUGUUUAUGGAAAUGUUAAAAGAAAUUAGCAAGGAUGAAACAGUGCGUAUAUCGGAGCAUAGUUUAGAAGAGGUAGCUGAAAUGAAUAUGAAUAGAAUUCAAAGGAAUAUAGAUAGAAUACAGAGUGAUAUUGAAGAAGUCCAAAAUCAUGCUAGCAUAGUUUCUCAUGAAUCAGGGGUAACGGCUAUACAUACUAUGCAAGUUAUGGAUGAAAUGGAUUUAGCUGGCGAUGAACAAGUUGUUACGCAAGAAGAUAUUGGUCAACAGGAUCAUGAUAUGGAGGUUACUGACAUUGACUGUUUAGAUGGUGAAACAGUAAGAAUGGUCGAUGAACAUAUAAGAGAAGUUUCAAAUCAUCAAAUAGCUAUGCAUUUGGAAGAUGAUAUGACUGUAGUAGGAAAUUUAACUGUAGAUGGACAUUUGAGUCAACUUGGAAUAAAUUAUGUAACUUCCAUAAAUCCAGAAACUGAAACUAGAGGACAAUUAGUGCAUUAUUGUGAAAAUGUUAAGUAUGAAUCAGUGCCUAUAAAGCAAGAAUAUCAAAGGUUACAAGAGAGAUUAAAUUCUGAAGAUCCUACACAUGUAUUAGAAAAUAAUGUACCCACCGAUGGGUUUCAUUCCUCUCAACCAGAAACAGAAAGUGAGAUAGAGGAAACAAAUGUUAGUGAAAAUGAAGUUUGUAGAAGUAUGGAUGUAAAUCAUUCAAAUGUGUUGCCCUCCACCAGUCAAUCUAAUACGGAAAAUACGGAAGUUAUUGUUGAGUAUACUAAAGAAACUAAACAUACUUUAUUAGAAUCUAUAUUAAAUAAUCCAACCAUCGAUGAGACUAAUACCCAUUGGUAUGUGUGUCCUUUCUGUAAUGAAGCUGCAAUGGAAAUGAGUAAUUUUGCAGUACAUUUUGAACAACAUUUUUGUUCAUGCUCUUGUGGUUUGUAUUUUACAAGUGUAGAAGUAUUAAAUAUUCACAAAGAACAGUGUAACUCGUAUAAAACAAAGGAAGAUAAUAAGGAAAUAAAAGUAAUAGAAUCAGAAUUAGUUCCAUCGCAAAGCAAUGAUAAUGCAGAUAUCCAAAAGAAACCAUCCACUGUAAGACAAAAAUGGACACCCAAAAUUUGUACUCAGUGUGGUAAGCAGUACAGAACCAAUUAUAAAUUACAAGAGCAUAUGCGCAAACAUACAGGAGAAAAGCCUUUCCAAUGUCUGAUUUGUGAAAAAGCAUUUCGUAGCAAGAUAGGUCUUGCACAACAUACAGCAACACAUACUGGUCAGUUCGAUUACACUUGUUCUACUUGUGGCAAAGGAUUCCAGUGUAAAAGUUAUCUGAUCGUCCAUCAGAGAGUUCAUUCGGACUUAAAACCUUAUCCUUGUAGUACUUGUGGACAAAAUUUUAAAACUAAACAAUCCUUAUUGGAUCAUCAAAAUAGGCAUCUUGGUGUAAAGCCUUACAUGUGUGAAGUUUGUGGUAGAGGUUUCAUAACUAAAGGUCUUUGUAAGAGUCAUCAGAAAAUACAUUCAGGUAUGGAUAAUCGACAGUACCCAUGCAUAGUGUGUAAUAAAAUGUUUGUCAGCAAAAGUUAUCUUAAUACACAUUUACGUAUACAUACUGGUGAGAAACCCUAUCUGUGUGAAGUAUGUGGGAAAGGAUUUUUAACGCGUGUUGAUCUUAAAAUUCAUUCCACCAUGCAUACUGGUGAGAAAAGCUUUAAGUGUGAAAUGUGUGCUAAAGUCUUCGCUAGAAGAGCAGCUUUACGAUGUCAUAGAAGAUCGCAUACGGGAGAAAGACCAUAUAGAUGUGACGUUUGCGAUAAAACAUUUACUCAAUUUAGUCCAAUGGCUAUUCAUAAACGUUUACACACUGGUGAAAGACCAUAUGAAUGUGAUAUGUGCGGCAAAGCAUUCGUAUCACGAUCGACUAUGAUGUGUCACAGAAAAAAACAUCAUAUUCCUGUGACACCUACACAAAAAGAUGUUUUAGUUUCUAACGAGGAUGCAGAAGUGAAACACAUUAUAUCAACAGAAAUAGUGCUUAGGGAAUCACAUGACGGAAUCCAUAUUACUGCUGAUUGAAUAGAAACUGGAAAAAAAAUCUGAAAUAUUAAUUUAAAUUAACAAAAAUAGGAAAAGGCUCCAUGCUCUAUGUUUUGGGACAUGUAAUAUAUAUAUAUUGUAAAAGUUUAAUGCAAGAAAGAUAUUUUUUCAAGAAUAUUGUUUUAUAAAC
This 2874-nucleotide unclassified non-coding RNA is filed under the name Polistes canadensis. RNAcentral describes it as "zinc finger protein 2-like, transcript variant X1". Lineage: Eukaryota; Metazoa; Arthropoda; Insecta; Hymenoptera; Vespidae. The record is from RNAcentral.